RNAcentral lists this long non-coding RNA (1369 nucleotides) under Homo sapiens (human). RNAcentral describes it as "psoriasis susceptibility 1 candidate 3, transcript variant 8 (PSORS1C3)". Lineage: Eukaryota; Metazoa; Chordata; Mammalia; Primates; Hominidae. The record is from RNAcentral.
GUUUUGUCUGGGGCUCGUCCUGCUACAUUUCUUGGUUCCCUGAACAGGAAGCGAGGUAACUGACGGACGGCCAAGGCAGCCCCUUGGGUGGCUUAGGCCUGCCCUGUGGAGCAUCCCUGCGGUGGACUCUGGCCAGCCUGAGUGACGCGAUCCAAAGAGCGCUCCCGGGUAGGAAAUUCCCCGGGUGGAACGCCUCGCCAGAGCAGCACGUAGCAGGCCCCCGAGGAGGAUUAACACACUGGCUGAACACUGGGAAGGAACUGGCACUUGGAGUCCGGACAUCUGAAACUUGCAACCCACUCUCUGUGCUAUGACUUCAUUACUCUUUCCCAGCCCAGCCCUGGGCAAGCCCCUUACGAAGUCUCAGGCUACCUGGAUGACCACCCUUUCUUAUGAUGCUGCAAGGAGGGCAGGUGGGCAGAGCCCCGUGCAUCCUGGGCUCAGGCCAGGGACCCAAGAGCUUGGGAGAAGCUGGUUCUCAGACUGAAGGCCAGAGCCCAGCACCUUGUCACCAUCCCGGGGAGCAUCAUGGCACACAACAACCAGAGCCAAGAGUCACACACCCUCCAGACCACGGUUGUCUGUGAGUUGCUGGGGAACCGGAGCAGCUGGGGACACUGGCACUACAACUGUGAUGGCCAGGACUCCCUUCUUAGCACACUUGAGUCUUUCAACUCCAGCAAAAGCCAGCCAGAACCAAGCAUAGCUGCAGAAGGAGAGAAGGGAAGGAAACAAUCCUUCCUGACCUAGAGCUGCGUCUACCCUCUCCGGAAACACCUGAAAGCUGGGGUGGGACCACGGCCCACCGUAGGUGUGAUAGUAGAGACAGGGUUUCACCAUGUUGGCCAGGCUGGUCUCGAACUGCUGAUCUGAAGUGAUCCGCCCGCCUCAGCCUCCUAAAGUGCUGGGAUUAUAGGCAUGAGCCACCGCUCCCGGCCUCCUCCUAUAUCUCUUGAUCAAACUUCAGGGGAAAACCUGCCAGAUUCCCCAGGAAGGAUGCUUGGAGGUGUGCAGAGAAGUCUACAUUCCCAUGUCAAGCUACAGCUAGAGAGUUGACUCCUCUAUUUGAGAUUGACAGGCCUCGGAAGUCAAAAUAAGUGGUUUCCUAGACCGGGUCGAGAGCAAGUCUCUAUUGGUCCCAACUGAGUUUUUUCAGCUGGUUUUUCAACCAAACAGCACCUCAUCUCCCAGUGAGGGGAAGGGAAGGCUGGGCUGAGAGCAGCAAGGCUGCUCAUCUCACCUCUCCCCACCCAGCCAUGCCAGCCGCCUCACCUGGUGGGGAGAGGUGGGCCUCACCUGGGUCCCCUGGCAGUGCUCUGUGAAGGGUCUUGACAUUGCACUGUAAUAAUAAAGGUGUGUGUGAAGUAUC